AGUCGGAGCGCAGAGGGACACGCAGACAUUUCAGCAGAGGCCUCAAAGGCAGAACAAAAUAGUGCAAGGAGCCGCACAUCCGCACAGUGCUGAGACCCUGCCCAGGACAAGCUUGGCCGCAGUAUUCCCUUUGGCACCCCCACCCACCUGGAACAAAGCCUGAUGUAAAGUCUGGGUGCGACUCAGACCGGCCUGGGAAAGAAUUUAUUUAAUAAAUGGUGGAAAGUGGCU
This 231-nucleotide long non-coding RNA is filed under the name Homo sapiens (human). RNAcentral's name for it is "non-protein coding lnc-SCTR-2:6". The record is from RNAcentral. Lineage: Eukaryota; Metazoa; Chordata; Mammalia; Primates; Hominidae.